UUACUAAAAAAUUAAUAGUUAAGUUCUUUAAAUUUAAAAAAUUUGGCGGUAUUUUAGUCUUAUUAGAGGAACCUGUUUUAUAAUUGAUAAUCCACGAUAAAUUUUACUUAAUUUUAAAAUUCAUAUAUCGCUGUCAUGAAUAUAUUUAAAAAUUUAUUUUCUUUAAUUAUUAAUUUAAUUUAUGUUAAGUCAAGAUGUGGUUUAUAAAUAAGAAAAUAAUGGGUUACAUUUAAUUCUAUUUUUGGAUUUUAAAAUGAAAAAUAAAAUAAAAUUGGAUUUAAUAGUAAAUUUAUUUAUUUAAUUAAAAUGAAUAUAGAUCUAGAAUAUGUACAUAUUGCCCGUCAUUCUUAUAAGAAAUAAGACAAGUCGUAACAAAGUAAAUGUACUGGAAAGUGUAUUUAGAAAGGUUAAAAUUUAUAUUAAAUAAUUUUAAA
This 434-nucleotide ribosomal RNA is filed under the name Anoecia fulviabdominalis. Its description in RNAcentral is "partial 12S small subunit ribosomal RNA". Lineage: Eukaryota; Metazoa; Arthropoda; Insecta; Hemiptera; Anoeciidae. The record is from RNAcentral.